AUUGAACGCUGGCGGCAGGCCUAACACAUGCAAGUCGAACGGUAACAGGAAACAGCUUGCUGUUUCGCUGACGAGUGGCGGACGGGUGAGUAAUGUCUGGGAAACUGCCUGAUGGAGGGGGAUAACUACUGGAAACGGUAGCUAAUACCGCAUAACGUCGCAAGACCAAAGAGGGGGACCUUCGGGCCUCUUGCCAUCGGAUGUGCCCAGAUGGGAUUAGCUAGUAGGUGGGGUAACGGCUCACCUAGGCGACGAUCCCUAGCUGGUCUGAGAGGAUGACCAGCCACACUGGAACUGAGACACGGUCCAGACUCCUACGGGAGGCAGCAGUGGGGAAUAUUGCACAAAGGGCGCAAGCCUGAUGCAGCCACGCCGCGUGUAUGAAGAAGGCCUUCGGGUUGUAAAGUACUUUCAGCGGGGAUGAAGGGAGUAAAGUUAAUACCUUGGCUCAUUGACGUUACCCGCAGAAGAAGCACCGGCUAACUCCGUG
RNAcentral lists this ribosomal RNA (490 nucleotides) under uncultured bacterium. Its description in RNAcentral is "partial 16S ribosomal RNA". It matches the Rfam family "Bacterial small subunit ribosomal RNA", at positions 30 to 507 of the family's 1533-position model. The record is from RNAcentral.